Pararge aegeria (speckled wood butterfly) is the source of this 337-nucleotide long non-coding RNA. RefSeq lists it as uncharacterized. The transcript has 2 exons. The record is from RefSeq and is a predicted model, not a curated record. Lineage: Eukaryota; Metazoa; Arthropoda; Insecta; Lepidoptera; Nymphalidae.
GCGACUUAAUUGUAAUAUUUGAAUGGUACUUACUUGAAAAAUAAUGUCUACUUUACAAAAUAUUUUUUUUGUGACAGUUUGUACGAUAUUGACCGUAAAUAUUUUAUUUAUUAUCGCGUCGAUUGUAUUUACUCUAUACUAUCAAGGAAAGGGUUCAGAAACAAAGGAUCUUCAACAUAAGAAGCCAAUAAACGAGAGUUCUAGACCUAGCCUCGUAUCGACUCUACCUCAGUUUAUAAUAUACAAGGCUUUCACCAGACAUAGCAGUGGCAGUAUAGUCUACGUUCAACAUGCUUAACUAGGCUUUUCAAAAUAAAGAAAUUGAAGUAUCUACACA